AAUGAACGCUGGCGGCGUGCCUAACACAUGCAAGUCGUACGAGAAAGGGGCUUCGGCCCUGAGUAGAGUGGCGCACGGGUGAGUAACGCGUGGGUAACCUGCCCUGUACACACGGAUAACAUACCGAAAGGUAUGCUAAUACGAGAUAAUAUACUUUUAUCGCAUGGUAGAAGUAUCAAAGCUCCGGCGGUACAGGAUGGACCCGCGUCUGAUUAGCUAGUUGGUAAGGUAACGGCUUACCAAGGCGACGAUCAGUAGCCGACCUGAGAGGGUGAUCGGCCACAUUGGAACUGAGACACGGUCCAAACUCCUACGGGAGGCAG
This 323-nucleotide ribosomal RNA is filed under the name uncultured Bacillota bacterium. RNAcentral's name for it is "bacterial SSU rRNA". It matches the Rfam family "Bacterial small subunit ribosomal RNA", at positions 29 to 351 of the family's 1533-position model. The record is from RNAcentral. Lineage: Bacteria; Bacillati; Bacillota.